This is a long non-coding RNA of Canis lupus familiaris (dog), 2134 nucleotides long. RefSeq lists it as uncharacterized. The record is from RefSeq and is a predicted model, not a curated record. Lineage: Eukaryota; Metazoa; Chordata; Mammalia; Carnivora; Canidae. The transcript has 4 exons.
CCUCCCCGCCCCCUCGUCCGCUCGCCCUCCUCCCGCCCUCCCCGCGCUGCAGCGCUCGCCGAGCUCAACCCGCGGGGAGGACGGAGUUCAGGCCGCCUGAACCUCUUGUUGGUUUUAUACUGAGUCGACGUCAUCCUGGAUUUAGUUCCUGUCACUUUGGGUCUGAAAACUACCAUAGGAAUCCGUAGGCCCUUUACACAGCGGAGACCAAAUUCAGCCGCUCAUUAAAAUUCGCCACCAAGAGUAGCACUCCGAAGGGAAGGGACGUGUCUAGCUGCUCCCUGCGUGGCUGUCGGCCCCAGGCUGCGCUCCCCGAGCCCCGGCGGCCUGGCCGAAGCCGGGCCCCGCUCGCUGCAGGCGGCCGCCGUGAUUCACCGGAGCCCCAGCCGGCCGAGCUGCUGGAGAUGCCUCCAGCCCACGGCCAAGCGCAGGCGGCGGACGCCCUUCGAGAAGGGCAGUCGAUGGAAGACAACUAAAGGCUGCAGCUCCUGCAGUGACUCUGGCCGCGUUUGUGUUCAGGGUUGGGUGCUGGGGCAGCACUUAUGUGAGUGGAUCUUUUAAGACCUUUGCUGAGCCAAGCGGAGUCGGAGUCACAGAAGCACUGCGGGAAACCGAGGCAGAUUCCUCAUCCUUUUCUGCAAAGGUGCUCAGAUCAGCAAGGCGCGCGGAGACACCAGCUAGAUUUCUAAAAGAGCGCUUUCUAGUUUUUAAAUAAGGCAGCCUCCCUGCCCCCCCCCCACCAUGUGUCAUGCUUCCACUUGGUACAUUGUUUUUUUUUUUUUUUAAUCAUGAGAUUUAGCAAACCUCUAGACUUCGCCCCUUGCCUUUCUGCAGUGCUCUCUCACUACCCUCGGAUUCCUGGAAGGAAGAGCACUGUACGGAGAGUCUGAGCGUCAGUUAUCCACGCAACACAGCCACCUUGGAAAUGAUCCCUCCUCUGUAGGUCUCGGGUUGGUUGUUUUUUUGUUUGUUUGUUUGUUUUUGGUUUUAAGUUGAUGGAAACAACGCCAACCAUCAUUGGGUCCCUUACAACCAUAAGAAUUAAUAAGGCUAGCUAAUUGUCGCCUGUUCGCCAAGGAGACCUGGGGGGUAGACUUUGGAGCAUUUUUCUAGUUUUUUGCAUUGGGGCAAAGGAGCGUGCUAUCCCCACCCCCACCCACCUCAGGGUCUCUAUCAGCUGGUUCCAAGAUUAGGCAAAGGGAGUCUGGGAGCUGUGUCCUCUUGCAGAAGGGACUUUCUGGGAAGAGGUCACAGGGACCCAGACCCCGCUCUACUCCAGUUACUCAGCCGGUUAUUCUCUCUCCCUCUCAGGGAGCUCACCCCCUGCAAGGCGGGGGCUCCCCAUCCUGGCUGCCCCUCAAUCAGCGGGCUGCAGUGUCCGCGGGGAGGCAGGAGCGGGGGAAGGUGAUGCGCAGCCCGUGCUGAGCGUCCUCCACGGGGCCAAAACCCACAAGUGUCCGUCGGGCGCUAAACAAUCAUCCGCCUCGCUUCGCCAGGCGCAAUUGGAAUAACAAAUGCAAAGCACGCAAAUUGCCUGCCUCCUGUUCCUAAGCGAUUGUUUGUCGGCCCCGCACGCACCGCUCAGCAUGGGAGGACCCGGAGCGUCCGGAGGCAGCCAGCAAGCGCUUAGGUCGGACAUGCAAUACACACGCCGCUGAUUUUACUUAUUAUCACCCAAACACGAUUUCACACAAAGCAAUCACCAUGCCAGAAGUCUAUGAAAAUGUGUUUGUUGAGGAGUCAGUCGCCCCAGUAAUAGCCCUCAUUUUUAAUAUAUUAAAGAACAGAUCAGCGGAUUCCGUACGCAUAAGGUAGAUGUGCGGACCUGGUAUGUGUCAAGGCGCUUUUGCUCCGUAAUCAUCGCUAAAUUGAUUCAUAGGGCACAGAUUAAAUUGCUUCUCUGAUUUAAAACGGAGAGCCCAAAUUCGGAGAUUUGGAGUGUGCGUCUGGGUAUCUCCACUGGCCGGCCCCAAGAAAGUGUCAUCGUGGAGAAAACUGUCACCCAUAAUCUUUCCACGCACACGCACAUGCACACAGGCACGCACCCCGCUGGCUGUAAAAAAAAAAAAAAAGCAUAUGCGGUCCUAACUUCUUGCGAUUUCGGGAACUUUCUUAAUUUUUUCAGCCUCUCACC